GAAGCCCUGGCCAGCCAUCAUUUGACAUCGAGAUCUUCCUGUGAAAGGGUGUGCAAAACCUACGAAGAAAUGUCAAAAGAGACACUGGACAUGAGUUAUGAUGAUUUUUUAAUAACAAAACACUUGUAAACCCCCCAAAAAAGCAAAGCCAAUUUCAUAAACCUGCAACUUUUAUGAAGUGGCAAUUCAAGCCACUCUGCUCCUACUCACCUGCCUGGAAAUGGAGCCACUCUUUUCUCGCCCAGCCUUCCGACACAGGUCAGACAAGAACAGUGGUGUGCAGUGGGUCCCAGAGGCCUUCUGUCGAGGGCAGCUGAGUCAGAGCAGGUGGAAUGAAGGACACAAUAUUGUGAUUAGGCAUUAUGUAAUACCUAAAGGUUCCAAUGAAGUGACACAUGCUGACUUCCCAGUCCUUUGCAAGACAAGGAAAAAGAAUUAAGAUGACUGUUUAAACUGUGAAAGGUGCACAUUUAACAAUGGAAAAUGAAUUGUUGGUUGUAUAUAGUUGUCUAACUUGAAACACGAACAUGUGUGCUUGGCCCUUGCUGGUGCUCUGAUGAAUUUUCAAUCUGAACUGUGCAAACAGUGCUCUGUUAAUAUUCCCAAUGGGAGCUGUACAUUGGGAAAUACAUGUUUAGAUUGAAAAUAAAAUACACAAGCUGUGCUCCCUCAUAGUUUUUACUAGAAUUCAUCCUUAUAUAAAUUCUAUUUUCAGCUUGCUGUUGCUUAUCAAGGUUGGAGAUGGAAGUGCUGGGAAAUGACAGAUUUUUUCAAACAUUUUGGCACUCAGUGCCAGUACUCCCAGGUGACAUAAUAUUGGCCGGAUACAAGGCAAACCUCCUUUAACUCAGUCCAGAUUAUGUACCUUAACCCUAACCUCAGAACCCUAACCCACUUUAUCAGUGCCAAUCUUUUCACUCCCUACACCAGUCAUCACCAUCACUUCUCUGAGAGAUAGCUACAGAAUAAAUUUCAGUUGGGAGGGAGGAAGGAAAUGCUGGGUGGGGCAAUGAGUUAAUAGGUUUUCUCUUCCUUUCCAGAAUGCAGGUUUGAAUCCAGUCCAGAUUGAAGGGAGAAACAUUAGUUUGGGCAGCCUCAACCCAGUUUCCAGUGAAUAAAGGCGCACACUGCAUGGCUGUCUAAAUUAUCAGAUGUGAGGCAAUGAAAGAUAUAAGGCCUUUCCUGUAUUGUCCAAUUGUGAACUGUCAUGUAUGUAGCCACCUUGUUCUCCAGCAACAAGCACAAAAUAAAC
Molecule: long non-coding RNA, 1252 nt
Organism: Carcharodon carcharias (great white shark)
Lineage: Eukaryota; Metazoa; Chordata; Chondrichthyes; Lamniformes; Lamnidae
Exons: 3
Source: RefSeq, a predicted model, not a curated record